Molecule: long non-coding RNA, 1351 nt
Organism: Mesoplodon densirostris (Blainville's beaked whale)
Lineage: Eukaryota; Metazoa; Chordata; Mammalia; Artiodactyla; Ziphiidae
Exons: 5
Source: RefSeq, a predicted model, not a curated record
GCGGAAGGUGGGAGCGGCGAUUGCCUACGGGACAGAGUUGGGGUUGGGUAGACCGCUUCCCGCGCGUUCGAGACGGGUUGGGGAGGAGCGCUUCACACCCUCACCUUCCUCCCCGCGGCCUCCACCGUCUCUCUCACCUACUUGCGGGGAGGCUCGUAACUUCUCCGCAGUCGUUACAGCGAGCAGGGCCUCUGCGGCCGCUACGGCUCCCCUGGGGCGGGGUUGCUUCGCAAGGACCACGGGCCCUAGGCCCGAGGAGGACCGCGGGCUCCAGGGGCGUGGAAUGGUGAGGUGGCGUCGGUCCGCCCUCCCCGGAGACGCGGAACGUGUUUGUGUUUGUGUUCGUGUCGGACACCCCGCCCCCCUCCACGUCCGCCUCGUCCAGGCCCCACCUCGCUCCCGCCACCUGGAACUGAUCUGCUCGCUAUCCCCUUUUCUUCCCUCAGCCCCCGAAACCUCCGGUGCUUGUUCACGCACUUCCAGGGACCGGCAGCCCGUCACCAUCACCUCUAGAGAAGAUUGAAAUGGAAAACUGGAAAAGUUGAUGAAUUUAUGCUCACAAAACCAAGUCGAAAAGCCAGGGCAGCUACGACAAGGUUGAAGUUCAUCCAUCAGAAGUGAAUGAAACAGAAGGGUCAACCUCCCUAAUCAUUUUGAUCACCAGGAUAAUGAUGACUGACCAAUUAGACUAGUCAUUGAUAUCCAGCAUAAAGAUGACCAUAACAGAUGUGAUCAUCCCCACUAGAGAUAAUUUAAUGGAAAACAACAACCAUUAAUAACACACGAUUGGAAGUAAGGAAACCUGGAUUUAGACUCCUGCCAAUGACAAAGAAUAUGAUCUAAAGUUAAUCACUCAAUCUUUCUGAGCCCUAGUUUCCACUUCUGUGAAAUUGUGGUUGGGAGUAAAUGACUUUCAUGUUUCUUAUUUGGCAUCAUUGCUGAUUCCUCUUCCAGCCAUGCCUUCAAGUGAUGGAGCUGAGGGUUUUCAUACUGGUAGAGAUGUCAGUUUGGAGCUGCUGGUAGCCAUCUUGGUAUCAUAAGGAGAGAGUCUACCUGAAAGAAAAACCAACAAAGAGAAAAAGUAGAGCUAUGAGUUGGAAAGACAGAGAGAUGAGAGGAGAACCAAUCUACCAAAAUUUUCUCAUUCCACAAAGAGGGAGCCACUAAAUGCACAAGGACUCUGCCAAGUGCUGAACACAGUUUCUGAUCUCCAGUGGGCAAACCAAGGAGGAAGGAAUGAUUGGUCACUAUGGAAUCACAGCUGAGAGUGAUAGACCAGCUGGCUGAGUAGGUUAAAAUCCUUUUCUGCGCCACUCUUAAUGCAGCUCUGUGGUUUUGUUCUAUAAGCAAG